This 467-nucleotide ribosomal RNA is filed under the name uncultured bacterium. RNAcentral's name for it is "partial 16S ribosomal RNA". It matches the Rfam family "Bacterial small subunit ribosomal RNA", at positions 29 to 507 of the family's 1533-position model. The record is from RNAcentral.
ACGAACGCUGGCGGCGUGCUUAACACAUGCAAGUCGAACGGAAAGGCCCUGCUUUUGUGGGGUGCUCGAGUGGCGAACGGGUGAGUAACACGUGAGUAACCUGCCCUUGACUUUGGGAUAACUUCAGGAAACUGGGGCUAAUACCGGAUAGGAGCUCCUGCUGCAUGGUGGGGGUUGGAAAGUUUCGGCGGUUGGGGAUGGACUCGCGGCUUAUCAGCUUGUUGGUGGGGUAGUGGCUUACCAAGGCUUUGACGGGUAGCCGGCCUGAGAGGAUGACCGGCCACAUUGGGACUGAGAUACGGCCCAGACUCCUACGGGAGGCAGCAGUGGGGAAUAUUGCACAAUGGGCGGAAGCCUGAUGCAGCAACGCCGCGUGCGGGAUGACGGCCUUCGGGUUGUAAACCGCUUUCGCCUGUGACGAAGCGUGAGUGACGGUAAUGGGUAAAGAAGCACCGGCUAACUACGUG